This 40-nucleotide transfer RNA is filed under the name Phlegmariurus dacrydioides. Its description in RNAcentral is "partial transfer RNA-Phe". Lineage: Eukaryota; Viridiplantae; Streptophyta; Lycopodiopsida; Lycopodiales; Lycopodiaceae. The record is from RNAcentral.
GCCGGGAUAGCUCAGUUGGUAGAGCAGAAGAUUGAAAAUC